GAGUUUGAUCCUGGCUCAGAACGAACGCUGGCGGCAGGCCUUAUACAUGCAAGUCGAGCGCAUCCUUCGGGAUGAGCGGCGGACGGGUGAGUAACGCGUGGGAAUGUGCCCUUCUCUACGGAAUAGCCACUGGAAACGGUGAGUAAUACCGUAUACGCCCUUAGGGGGAAAGAUUUAUCGGAGAAGGAUCAGCCCGCGUUAGAUUAGGUAGUUGGUGGGGUAACGGCCUACCAAGCCUACGAUCUAUAGCUGGUUUUAGAGGAUGAUCAGCCACACUGGGACUGAGACACGGCCCAGACUCCUACGGGAGGCAGCAGUAGGGAAUCUUGGACAAUGGGGGAAACCCUGAUCCAGCCAUGCCGCGUGAGUGAAGAAGGCCUUAGGGUCGUAAAGCUCUUUCGCCUGUGAUAAUAAUGACAGUAGCAGGUAAAGAAACCCCGGCUAACUCCGUGCCAGCAGCCGCGGUAAUACGGAGGGGGUUAGCGUUGUUCGGAAUUACUGGGCGUAAAGCGGGCGUAGGCGGAUUGGAAAGUUGGGGGUGAAAUCCCGGGGCUCAACCCCGGAACUGCCUCCAAAACUGCCAGUCUAGAGUUCGAGAGAGGUGAGUGGAACUCCAAGUGUAGAGGUGAAAUUCGUAGAUAUUUGGAAGAACACCAGUGGCGAAGGCGGCUCACUGGCUCGAUACUGACGCUGAGGUGCGAAAGUGUGGGGAGCAAACAGGAUUAGAUACCCUGGUAGUCCACACCGUAAACGAUGAAUGCCAGUCGUCGGGUAGUAUACUAUUCGGUGACACACCCAACGGAUUAAGCAUUCCUCCUGGGGAGUACGGUCGCAAGAUUAAAACUCAAAGGAAUUGACGG
RNAcentral lists this ribosomal RNA (860 nucleotides) under uncultured bacterium. Its description in RNAcentral is "bacterial SSU rRNA". It matches the Rfam family "Bacterial small subunit ribosomal RNA", at positions 9 to 916 of the family's 1533-position model. The record is from RNAcentral.